AUUGCUCAUCGCCAAGAGAUGGAGCGAUUAUUUCAACGUGCCUCAGCAGCUCUGCUUACCAUGUGUAUGCCGUUUUGUCUUAUCGCGAGAUUGGACAACUUCCCUUGUUAUUUUGCAGCAAAAUAUUUAACAUUUCUUCUGUCCCACUUGAGAUUUUUGAUGUUGAGAACACUCUUCAUUUGAUGUGGUCUAAUCCAAUGCGCAAACAUUGUGAAUCAAAUGGAACAAGAUGUGGAUUCAAGAAUAGUAAUAUUCAGCUAUGAUAUUACAUGUUUUGGGGAUCGUCACAGUGGUUCAUCAAACAAAUACGUAAUUGCAGGAUCAAUGAUGGGCUCACUUCUAGUAGUGAGUACUCUUGCGGCAAUUCUUUAUAUCAGCAACUCUUAUAAAUCACA
Molecule: long non-coding RNA, 395 nt
Organism: Neltuma alba
Lineage: Eukaryota; Viridiplantae; Streptophyta; Magnoliopsida; Fabales; Fabaceae
Exons: 3
Source: RefSeq, a predicted model, not a curated record